Molecule: long non-coding RNA, 210 nt
Organism: Nothoprocta perdicaria
Lineage: Eukaryota; Metazoa; Chordata; Aves; Tinamiformes; Tinamidae
Exons: 2
Source: RefSeq, a predicted model, not a curated record
CUACCGGGAGCUGGUGGCCGCGCUGGACCGGGCCGAGCUGGCGGAGCUGCUGCUGGCGGCGGCCGAGCUGCGCGACCUCUACGCCUUCCUGUGCGACCUGCUCCGGAAGAACAUGGAGAAGAUCCGGAAGCCGCGCGGGGAGGCCAAGGUCAUGGUCUACUGAGCAGGAAGCCCCGCCCACCCGCUUCCGGGGCAAGCCCCGCCCCCCCC